ACGUAUCCAACCUGCCCUUUACUCGGGGAUAGCCUUUCGAAAGAAAGAUUAAUACCCGAUGGCAUAAUGAUUCCGCAUGGUUUCAUUAUUAAAGGAUUCCGGUAAAGGAUGGGGAUGCGUUCCAUUAGGUUGUUGGUGAGGUAACGGCUCACCAAGCCUUCGAUGGAUAGGGGUUCUGAGAGGAAGGUCCCCCACAUUGGAACUGAGACACGGUCCAAACUCCUACGGGAGGCAGCAGUGAGGAAUAUUGGUCAAUGGGCGCUAGCCUGAACCAGCCAAGUAGCGUGAAGGAUGAAGGCUCUAUGGGUCGUAAACUUCUUUUAUAUAAGAAUAAAGUGCAGUAUGUAUACUGUUUUGUAUGUAUUAUAUGAAUAAGGAUCGGCUAACUCCGUGCCAGCAGCCGCGGUAAUACGGAGGAUCCGAGCGUUAUCCGGAUUUAUUGGGUUUAAAGGGAGCGUAGGUGGACUGGUAAGUCAGUUGUGAAAGUUUGCGGCUCAACCGUAAAAUUGCAGUUGAUACUGUCAGUCUUGAGUACAGUAGAGGUGGGCGGAAUUCGUGGUGUAGCGGUGAAAUGCUUAGAUAUCACGAAGAACUCCGAUUGCGAAGGCAGCUCACUGGACUGCAACUGACACUGAUGCUCGAAAGUGUGGGUAUCAAACAGGAUUAGAUACCCUGGUAGUCCACACAGUAAACGAUGAAUACUCGCUGUUUGCGAUAUACAGUAAGCGGCCAAGCGAAAGCAUUAAGUAUUCCACCUGGGGAGUACGCCGGCAACGGUGAAACUCAAAGGAAUUGACGGGGGGCCCGCACAAGCGGAGGAACAUGUGGGUUUAAUUCGAUGAUACGCGAGGAACCCUUACCCGGGCUUUAAAUUGCAGUGGAAUGAUGUGGAAAACAUGUCAGUGAGCAAUCACCGCUGUGAGUGCUGCAUGGUUGUCGUC
Molecule: ribosomal RNA, 941 nt
Filed under: Bacteroides fragilis
Lineage: Bacteria; Pseudomonadati; Bacteroidota; Bacteroidia; Bacteroidales; Bacteroidaceae
Description: bacterial SSU rRNA
Rfam family: Bacterial small subunit ribosomal RNA
Source: RNAcentral